UCUGAUUGGCCUAAGCCGUGGGGCUAGCCUAUCUUGCUGGAUAAAGUGAUUGGUUCAGGAAAUGGCACAUGACCCAGUUCAGACCAAUGAAAGGCGAGGAGAUGUUCGCUGGGGUUUCUGGGAAAGAGGAGUUGUCCCUCUCUUCAGAGGGACGUCCCGGAAGCGACUGGCUCUUUUUUUCUGGUCGCUGCAGAGUGAGGGUGUGACGGGCCAGCAAGGACAGCAACAGUCGAGGAGAAAGGAGAGAAUGCCAGAGAGAUGGAGCCCAAACCUGAACCCAGGAUCAAAGGGCAACUGAGUAGCACUCGCUCUGGAGUUCUCGGUCGGCUGCGCCGCUGACUUGCCAAAUUUGCCUAAGCCCGUUUGUUGGUGUUUGCAGGUCCUAACUGAUGCGGUGCCAUUUUUCAAGUACAGAAUUGGAUAAGCGUUGGAGACAGGGAGCAGCCAGCAGGUGCAAGCACUUCUGUGGAUCCAGUCCCUUUCCUUCUGAUUCUGUCUCCGUGUACACUUCGUAUCACAAAUCAGGGUCUUGCCCUGGAAAACAUCUCCCGACCCCUCUUGCUGGCCUGGCACCUGCACAUAAGUGCUCCAGUGCAUGCAAGAUUCAUCCCACACCACAGUCCUUGCGGGCAUCAUUACUGGUGUAAUCAUGGUCAGGUGCAGGAGUCACCUGAGUUCCCAAGACACUUGCUCCAGUUGGCAUUGCACCAAAAUCCAUUACAGGUGAUAGCAACAUUAUGGUGCCAUUA
This 749-nucleotide long non-coding RNA is filed under the name Homo sapiens (human). RNAcentral describes it as "HSALNT0004015". The record is from RNAcentral. Lineage: Eukaryota; Metazoa; Chordata; Mammalia; Primates; Hominidae.